AGAAAGUGACAGAUCGGUAAUGUGUUUGGCUUGAAACCAAACUAAGGGGGUUCAAUUCCUCCCUUUCUC
Molecule: transfer RNA, 69 nt
Filed under: Minous monodactylus (grey stingfish)
Lineage: Eukaryota; Metazoa; Chordata; Actinopteri; Perciformes; Synanceiidae
Description: tRNA-Ser
Rfam family: tRNA
About the family: Transfer RNA (tRNA) molecules are approximately 80 nucleotides in length. Their secondary structure includes four short double-helical elements and three loops (D, anti-codon, and T loops). Further hydrogen bonds mediate the characteristic L-shaped molecular structure. tRNAs have two regions of fundamental functional importance: the anti-codon, which is responsible for specific mRNA codon recognition, and the 3' end, to which the tRNAs corresponding amino acid is attached (by aminoacyl-tRNA synthetases). tRNAs cope with the degeneracy of the genetic code in two manners: having more than one tRNA (with a specific anti-codon) for a particular amino acid; and 'wobble' base-pairing, i.e. permitting non-standard base-pairing at the 3rd anti-codon position.
Source: RNAcentral